Molecule: ribosomal RNA, 655 nt
Filed under: uncultured Serratia sp.
Lineage: Bacteria; Pseudomonadati; Pseudomonadota; Gammaproteobacteria; Enterobacterales; Yersiniaceae
Description: bacterial SSU rRNA
Rfam family: Bacterial small subunit ribosomal RNA
Source: RNAcentral
UCGGCUUAGAGUUUGAUCAUGGCUCAGAUUGAACGCUGGCGGCAGGCUUAACACAUGCAAGUCGAGCGGUAGGGGAGCUUGCUCCCCACGAGCGGCGGACGGGUGAGUAAUGUCUGGGAAACUGCCUGAUGGAGGGGGAUAACUACUGGAAACGGUAGCUAAUACCGCAUAACGUCGCAAGACCAAAGAGGUUCGCCUUGCCAUCAGAUGUGCCCAGAUGGGAUUAGCUAGUAGGUGGGGUAAUGGCUCACCUAGGCGACGACCCCUAGCUGGUCUGAGAGGAUGACCAGCCACACUGGAACUGAGACACGGUCCAGACUCCUACGGGAGGCAGCAGUGGGGAAUAUUGCACAAUGGGCGCAAGCCUGAUGCAGCCAUGCCGCGUGUGUGAAGAAGGCCUUCGGGUUGUAAAGCACUUUCAGCGAGGAGGAAGGUGGUGAGUAAUCUCAUCAAUUGACGUUACUCGCAGAAGAAGCACCGGCUAACUCCGUGCCAGCAGCCGCGGUAAUACGGAGGGUGCAAGCGUUAAUCGGAAUUACUGGGCGUAAAGCGCACGCAGGCGGUUUGUUAAGUCAGAUGUGAAAUCCCCGGGCUCAACCUGGGAACUGCAUUUGAAACUGGCAAGCUAGAGUCUCGUAGAGGGGGGUAGAAAUCC